UGGGGAAUAUUGGGCAAUGGGGGCAACCCUGACCCAGCAACGCCGCGUGAAGGAAGAAGGCUUUCGGGUUGUAAACUUCUUUUACCAGGGAAGAAACAAAUGACGGUACCUGGAGAAAAAGCCACGGCUAACUACGUGCCAGCAGCCGCGGUAAUACGUAGGUGGCAAGCGUUAUCCGGAUUUACUGGGUGUAAAGGGCGUGUAGGCGGGAUUGCAAGUCAGGUGUGAAAUUUAGGGGCUUAACCCCUAAACUGCAUUUGAAACUGCGAUUCUUGAGUGAUGGAGAGGCAGGCGGAAUUCCUAGUGUAGCGGUGAAAUGCGUAGAUAUUAGGAGGAACACCAGUGGCGAAGGCGGCCUGCUGGACAUUAACUGACGCUGAGGCGCGAAAGCGUGGGGAGCAAACAG
This 406-nucleotide ribosomal RNA is filed under the name uncultured bacterium. RNAcentral describes it as "bacterial SSU rRNA". It matches the Rfam family "Bacterial small subunit ribosomal RNA", at positions 355 to 775 of the family's 1533-position model. The record is from RNAcentral.